CAGGGAGAAGGAAGGAGAGAAUUAACAGACAGGCACCUGUUGCCGAAUUCUGUCCCUCAGUGUGUUCCCUGAGAUUGCAGGAGGUUCAUGUGGGAUCAACUUCUCAACCAGCAAAGAUGAGUCACCACCCUCAUCCCCUGCUGUGCACCCAGCCCUAAUUUUAUUUAGAUAAGUUCAGCAUAGGCGACUCAGUGGCUCAGUAAACCACACGACUUCAGUAUCACUGGUUAAUUUAUAACAUAUUAUACCUGAAUUACCUGCAGUGUGUUUCGUUUUACAGGAAGAUCAGCGGACGGCUCAGAUAAAAUCUCUUUGUAGAACAGGUGUGUGUUCAGCACAGUUCUUAUCCAAUAUAACUUGAAUUUUAUUUUCAGUGAAAGCUGAAAAGCGGAAUCCCUGUUCUCUUACACCUCCAGGUUAGGGGUUCGAUUUAUGCCUGGACUCUGUGUGGCGGCUGCAUGAUCUCCCCAUGUCACAUGGGGUUUUGCUGGGUUCCUCCAGCAGUCCAAAGGCAUGCAGCUAAGCUAACUCAUUCAUUUGUGUUUGUGCCCCGCAGAGGUCAGGCUUUACCUCUCGGAACAUGGACAGGAACAUAGACAGGAACUCCGCCAUUCACUCUCUGGCUUCUCAGACGUCAAAGUGCCUAAUCCUAACUGCCCUUCCUAGUAACACUUAAACUAGGAACAACUAGAAAAACAAUAGCACAACUAUGCAGUAAGACCUUUAAGUCCCACCUCCAAUGAACCCAGUGUGCUCUGAUUGGUCAGUUUGUCCUACAUGUUCCACUCCUGUCUUGCAGUCUGUAGACAGAUCCUUGCAGGUUAGAAUACAUUGGCUGUGAAGGGCAGCCACCCAUAGCAGCACCCAGGGAGCUGGGGCUUAAGAUGUGCCGAGGCCAGGCUAGAACCAAUGACUUUCCGAUCACAGGCACAGAGGCUUAGCCCACUGAACCACAUGCUGCCCCCAAAGAUUGUGUUACGAGGUGACCUCACCAUGCCUCGGAAGUAAGGGCUGGAAUUCUAACGAGGCGUUUCAGGUAGGUGAGAGAAGAGUGGUUUCUGUGGUGAGAGUUACUCCCUAUGCACAGACUGUUUACAUCACAGGUGUCAGACUCCAGUCCUGGGGGGCCGGAGCCCUGCACAGUUUUUG
Molecule: non-coding RNA, 1149 nt
Organism: Paramormyrops kingsleyae
Lineage: Eukaryota; Metazoa; Chordata; Actinopteri; Osteoglossiformes; Mormyridae
Source: RefSeq, a predicted model, not a curated record